Long non-coding RNA from Alosa sapidissima (American shad), 1017 nucleotides. RefSeq lists it as uncharacterized. The record is from RefSeq and is a predicted model, not a curated record. The transcript has 4 exons. NCBI's taxonomy places the organism in Eukaryota, Metazoa, Chordata, Actinopteri, Clupeiformes, Clupeidae.
UGUCUGUCCUUCAAAAGAGGAAGUGCUGCUCUGUUGGCCUGGCCUAGAUUCUUCUCCCCACCGCGCUCACAUGAUGUGGCCUCACAUGCUUACUGGUGUGUGUCUGCGUAGUAGGAAGAAGUAUUGCUAUUUCCGAGAAUCCCAUCCUCUCCCAUCUGACAGUUAAGCCAAAAGAGAAUCCCAUCUUCUCCCAUGUGACAGUCGAAGCCGAAAGGUUGUGCGGUGAAAGGCCCCAGGUGAUGCCGCCAGCAAAUUGUGUAUUGUUGUUUUUCGUACUAUGUUGUUCUAUGUUGAUCGCCACUGUCGGAUAUCCCCUUCCUAAAGUACAAGGAAUUUAACACCUUUCCUGUGUGUGUCUGCAAUCAGGUAAUAUAAAACUGAUGUUUAGAUUUAUUUUUACUUACAAAGCAACCCAAAUGCAGUUUGAUUGAUAGUCCCUGUAAUGCUCAAUAAAAGGGUAUGAUUUUUGAAAACGGAGAUAAUUAUCGGUCUAUGAAAAUGAUCGACCCAUAAUGUGAUCUACCCCUAUAAAUAUCUCUUCCCGAAGCUUCUGUCUGUCUCGUCCGUGUUGUCUGCGCACUCAGACAACCAGCUGAUUCAAACAAGGAAAGCCCAGCGCACGAGAGUGGGUUUUAGCCAGAUCUGUGAGUAUGACCACCAUGGGCACAGUGGUGCCACAAACAUGUCUGUUGUAGCAGGGGUUUUCAACCAGUGGUCUGCGGCCCACUUGUGGUCCGUGAGGACAUUGCUGGUGGUCCCUGACCAUGGAUUCAGUAAUGUAGUUGCGAUGUGGGAAUCAGUAUUUUAAUUCAGUGGUGGUCCUGGGGUUACGCAAUUAGUUAGAAUGGUAGUCUCUGGUUCACAAUCAGUUGAAAACCCCUGGCCUGCCCUAGUGCGUCUUCGGCCACGAGAGAUAUUCAGCCAGUAGUUGCCCUGUGUUGUGGGGCAGAGAUCUGAGAGUGAGGAGGAGGAGACAGCGGAGGAUGAUGAUGAUGAUGAUGAUGAUGAUGAUGAAGA